This is a long non-coding RNA of Hypanus sabinus (Atlantic stingray), 8176 nucleotides long. RefSeq lists it as uncharacterized. The record is from RefSeq and is a predicted model, not a curated record. The transcript has 3 exons. Lineage: Eukaryota; Metazoa; Chordata; Chondrichthyes; Myliobatiformes; Dasyatidae.
AGCCUAGAUGAUCAUUGUUGUUGUGUAAUAUCACAAAUCUGCAAACCUCGGUGUACACCGAAGGGUCACGGAAUUGUGAAUCUCAGAUUAAUCAGCACUGUGAUGUUGUUAAAUAUGAAAGUUUUCUGCAGGUUUCUGUCCCAUAUCAGCAUGGUGUUGAGGAUCAGCAGUCCCUGGGGAACGCGACCCCUCAUAAAACCUGGCAGAGUCAGUCAGGAUCAGUCCCCUUAUUGCUGAAUGCUGGUGAUAUCCCACAAGAAGUAUAUAAUUCUGUAAAUGGUUGAGUAAUUCUAACAAAACAUUCUCCUUUGUGACAUUCCUUGGGAUCACCGACUGAGUCAAUUUGGAAUUUCUGCCCCGUUCACCUUCAUCACCUCGUGCCUCACAGCCACUGGGUGAAAAACAGGUUCCAGUUCUUGCUGACUGGAGUCAGACAGGAGGGAAUCUGGCCAAGGAAAGUGGAAUUGGGAUCUGAGUCACACUGAAGCAACAAUGUACACAAAUGAAUGAGUGAAUGGACAACCAGAAACACAAGAGAUUUGACAGAUGCUGGAAAUCUUGAACAACACACACAAAAUUCUGGUGGAACACAGCAGGCCAGGCGGCAUCUAUAAGGAGAAGCACUGUCAACGUUUGGGGCCGAGACCCUUCGUCAGGACUAACUGAAAGGAGAGAUGUUCCCUGAGCUGCUCAGUGUUGGCAGUGCAGGAGGGACAAUAACAUCAGUCGGUGAGAUUUGCAGCUGAGGAUCUUUUACAUCCCGGGACCAGCAGGUGUUACAGACACAGCAAUGAAGAAUCCUUCUACAUCUGAGUGUGAUGAUAUUCCCUGGUCACCACCUGGGACUUGCAUGUCUGACAGUAGUGAAAACUGACAGGAAGCUACUGGCAUAGUGAAGGGAGCCAUGAACUUCACCAAGACCAAGAGAAAAUAUGUUUUUUGGAAUUGUCGAACCAUGUACAGCACUGGCAAGCUCACACAGAUAACCACAGUAAUGUGUCAUUACAGCCAACACACAAUGAGGUUAGUGAAAGUAGAUGCACAUGGUCUGGCAGACUAAAGGCAGCAACUGGUGAAAGAGUUUUAUAUUCAGGAAGGGAAGAUGUCAGCGUCUUGAUGGUGCAGCUGUCAUUUUGAAGAAAGUCAUUGAGAAGUGCCCGCUGGAGUGAAAACCAAUCAACAGUCGGCUGGUGAGAGUCAGGCUGAGAGUGAAGCGAGUGAACAUGACUGUGAUCCAGUGCUAUGCUCCAAGUAACAGUAGUGACAUUGAAGAAAAGGACAUCUACAGACAGCAGAGGUAGAGUUAACACCAUGCCAUGACAUAAUCAUCAUCAUGGGAGAUCUAAAUGGCAAAGUGGGAAAUAACAACUCGGACUUCACUCAGGUCAUGUGCAUGCAAGGGUGUGGACCAAUGAAUAACAACGGUGAAAGACGGGUGGAAUUCUGUGCCAUGAACAGUCUGGUCACAGGAGGGACCGUUUCCACACCAUGGAAUCCACACACUGACAUGUUGCUCACCCAGUAGAAGUGACAAGAUCUAGAUUAACCAUUUGAUGAUCAAUGGUACAUGGAGACAACCCUUGCCGGGUGUAAAGGUGAAGAGAGGAGCAGAUACAGGAAGUAAUCACCACCUUGCUGUAGCAGUGAUGAAACUCAAGUUGAGAAGCACUGGGACCAGAGCACAUGUACAAAGACGUUUUGAUGUUGAGAAGCUCAAGGACACCAGUGUGAGAUCUGCUGUCACCAUUAAACUUAAGAACAGAUUUCAGGCUUUGGCGAGGAUGUGUCAGUGAACAAGAUCAACACUAUGUGGAAACAGAUUGUGUCAGUGUUCAUGGAGAGCAGCAGGGCUUGUCUACAUUACAGAGCUGGAAAGAAAAACAAAGAAUGGAUACAGCAGGAAACAUGGACAGCCUUAGAGGAAAGAUGGAAAAUUAGGAAGAAAAUGUUCAAUGCAGAGUCAACACGAAUUAAGGUGAAACUUCCACUGGCAUUCACUGAAGCUAGCAAAAAAGUGAAGAGCGAAGGAUGGAUAAGAGGGUCUACAUGGAAGACCUUGCAGUGGUGGCCACAGCAGUGCCAGUUAACGUGUUCAGGAAAACAUAGACAAGAUUUCCUUUUUUAAAAUUUUUAUAUUGCCAUACCUUUUUUUGGUCUCGUCUUUAUGAUAUUUGUAUCAUGCAUGAUUGGGGAAGACUUAACUGUAUUAUACUUAUUGCUUGUGUAUCCCAUUGUAAUGCUCAUUGUAAUUUCGUAAUCCCAAAAAGAUUGGAAAAGAAAGAAAGAAGGUUUCAAAAUUAGUAUGCAGAAAGUUCCAAGUCAGAUCCAGUAGCCCCAUGAGAGGUAAGAACGGUCUGCUUUUGACAAGAGCACAAAGCACAAUGGACAGGGUGUUUCAGAGAUUUACUGAAUAGUCACAGAGGACCUCAACAUCAACACAGAUCCAGCCAAGAAAGAAGAGAUUGUUACUGUGAUUAAUACAUUAAGAAACAGUAAAGCUCCAGAACUGCAUCCUGCAUCCACUGUUUACUAUAAUCUGGGAACGAGGACAAGUGCCCAAGGACAAAGGGAGUUAGGAUCCCCAAGAAACGAGUACCAAGUGAUUGCAAGAACUGGUGUGGCAUCACACUUCUGUCUCACCAAAGUCAUUGUCCAAAGGAUUACAGAUGCUGUAGAUGUUUGCUUGAAGGAAUAAGUUGGAAUAGAGACUCUGUCAACCGGAUCUUCAUGCUGCAUAACAUCAUAGAGCAGUGCACAGAGUGGCAGAGACAACUGUACAUAAAUUUCAUGGACUUUGAAAAGGCUUUUGAUAGCAUCCAUGGGGAGAGCCACAUUGAAUAGAUUAAAAUCAUGCAAAAACAAAUAAUAUAUUUUAAAAAGUGAAGGAGUGUCCAAGGGUUUAUUGUCCAUUUAGGAAUCAGAUGGCAGAGGGGAAGAAGCUGUUUCUGAAUUGCUGGGUGUGUGUCUUCAGGCUUCUCUACCUCUUACCUGAUGGUAACAGUGAAAAAAGGGCAUGCUCUGGGUGCUGGAGGUCCUUAAUAAUGGAUGCUGCUUUUCUGAGGCACCACUCCUUGAAGAGGCCCUGGGUACCCAAGAGGCUCGUACCCAAGAUGAAGCCAACUAAAUUUGCAACCCUCUGCAGCUUCUUUCAGUAGCCCUCCCCUCCCCCCCAUACCAGACAGUGAUGCAACCUGUCAGAAUACUCUCCACUGUACAUCUAUAGUAAUAUAAGAAAUAUAUUUUCAGUAAUACAAGAAUUGUUUAAUGGUAUUAAACCAUUAAUACCAGAAAACUUCUGCAAACCAGAAGACUGAGUACAGGAUUAAUGGUCGGUUACUUAAGAGUGUGGAUGAACAAAGGGGCCUUGGGGUUCAAAUCCAUACAUCCCUCAAGGUCGCUGCACAGGUUGAUAGGGUAGUUAAGAAGGCCUAUGGGAUGCUAGGCUUCAUUAACAGGGGGAUUGAGUUCAAGAGUAGAGAGGUCAUGUUUCAACUCCACAAAUCUCUGGUGAGACCGCACUUAGAGUAUUGUGUUCAAUUCUGGUCACCUCAUUAUAGGAAGGAUGUGGAAGCUAUGGAGAGGGUGCAGAGGAGAUUUACCAGGAUGUUGCCUGGUUUGGAGAACAAGUCAUAUGAAGCAAGGUUAGCAGAACUGGGACUUUUCUCUUUGGAGCGUAGAAGAAUGAGACAGGACUUGAUAGCGGUCUACAAGAUUAUGAGAGGCAUAGAUAGGGUGGAUAGUCAGUACCUGUUUCCCAGGGCACCAAUAACAAACACCAGAGGGCAUAUGUACAAAAUUAAGGGAGGGAAGUUUAGGGGAGACAUCAGGGGUAAGUUUUUUUACACAGAGGGUUGUGAGUGCCUGGAAUGAUUUGCCAGGGAUGGUGGUGGAGGCUAAAACAUUAGGGGUAUGUAAGAGCCUCUUGGACAGACACAUGGAUGAAAGAAAAAUGGAGGGUUAUGGGGUAGUGUGGGUUUAGUACUUUUUUUUAAGGAUUAUAUGGGUGGGCACCACAUGGAGGGCUGAAGGGCCUGUACUGUGCUGUAGUGUUCUAGGGUUCUAUGGUAUUGGUCCCUGAAUCAAAAAAGUAUUUCUAUGCCUUGAGCAGCGAACUUUUUCUUUUUAGUAAGCCUAUUUCCUCUUGAAGAUUCCCUUUUCAGAUCAAGUCAAGCCACAUCUCCAACAGGAAGCUGAGAAGGAAAUUUCCCCGAUAUCACUGUCCAGUUUCACCCACCUGUCAAGAAUGAAAAUAUGAAAUGUGUUUCUGGUAAAUCAACAGCUGCACAAAGAGAUUCUGUUCAGAUUUAUCCCGUGCACUGUGUGUCAGAAGGAGAUUGUUCAGCCCUCCAGUCUAUUCCCUCUUCAGCUGAUAUGUGUCCGAGCUCCAUUUACCAACCUUGGCUCCACAUAUUUGAAUAAUUGAACUCAAACAAAAUUCUAUUAAUUUUGAAGUUUCAACUGACACUUCCCACCCCUCCCCCCAAGUCUUGACCACUUUCCAGGGAGACUUCCAGAUUUCCACUGACCUGUAUAUCCUGACAGAUAACAGAUUCUUUGUGUUAUUCUUCUGUGCCAUUCUGGAAUGUUUUUAAACUCCCUAAUUACACUGGCCUUCAGUUUUCCACAUUUCAGGGAACAAGAGACCAGACCUAAUAUUUUAUCCCAGUCCCAGUAGCACUUCACUGUGCCUCAUCCACACAACCCCUCUCCAAGGAAGACACACCCUUCCUGAGGGGUGAUGCCAAGAAUCACAGCCAGUGCUCCAGAUGUGGUCUAAUUCGAUCUCUACUCCAUGGCAGUGUAAUAUCCACCCCUCUGUAUCCCUGUUUUCCCCAUUAACUGGAGCACAUUGAGACCCUAAACUUAAAUUCAUCAUCAGGAUUAAUUAGAACCCAAACCUGCCAGUGGUCUCUCAUCCAAAGUAAACCUUCCACAUUCCCUCUUUCCACUGGGAUUGUUUAUUCCCUUAUGGAAUCUGUGUCAGUCAGCCGACACAGCAGAAACAAGACCUCUCUUGAAACAGGAGCUCACCAAACAACAACCUCAGUGACUGUGGGCAGUUUACCUCCUUAUGUUUCUCACCACACCUGAGUAUUUUCAUGUGUACCUGCCUCGACCUACCACUGGCUUGUAUUCAUUACAGGCUGUUUAAAACUUUCUGGAAUUACAGCUGUAAAUUAAUAAUUUCACAGCUGGCUAAUCCGUUCCAGCUCCCACUGCCUCGUUGUCCCAUUCUGGAUUGAGAUAUGGGACAUGCUCCACUCUACUCUCUCUACACCCAUGACUCUGUGGCUGGGCACAGCUCAAAUGCCAUCUUCACAUUUGUCUGUUGUUGGCAGAAUCUCAGAUGGUGAUGAGGAGGUGUACAGAAGUGAGAUAGACUGGCUGGUUGAGUGGUGUCACAAUAAUGACCUUCAUUCAAUGUCAGAAUAAUGAAUUGAUUGUGCCCGUGGGAAGGGAACAUGGUGGGGGUGAUACACACCAGGUAUCAUUGAGGGAUCGGCAGUGGAAGGGGUGAGCAGUUUCAAAUUCCUGGCUGUCAACAUCGCUGAAGAUCUAUCCUGGGUCCAACUCAUUGAUGAAAUAACAAAGAAAGAACAAAGAGAUUAAAUUUCAUCGGGAGUUUGAGGUGAUCUGGUGUGUCACCAAAUACUCUAGUAAAUUUCUACAGGUGUACCAUGGAGAGCAUUCAAUGAGGUUGCAUCACCGUCUGGUACAGACAGGCCACUGCACAGGAUCAGAAAAAGCUGCAGAGAGUUGCAAACUCAGCCAGCUCCAUCACGGGCACCAUCUUCCCCAGCAUUGAGGACAUCAUCAAAAGGCAAUGCCUCAAAAAUCCACAUCCAUCAUUAAAGACCCACAUCAUACAGGACAUGUUCUCUUCUUAUUACUACCUUCAGAGAGGAGGUUCAGGAGCCUGGAGACACACACUCAACAUUUCAGGAAAAGCUUCUUCCCCUCUGCCAUCAGAUUUCCGAACAAUGAAGCAACUUAUGAACACUAGCUCCUACUUUUGCUCUCGAUUUGCGUGAGUUAUAUAAACAUGCAUCUUAUUGUAAUUUAUGAUGUUUAUGUGUUACACUGUACUGCUGCCACAACACAACAAAUUUCACAACAUAUGUCAGUGAUAUUAAACCUGCUUCUGAUACUGAUGGGAGUGAAGGCAGAAACUAGUUGAGUCUGACGAUCUGAUAUACCUGUCCCUGUUUCCACAGGAAAGAGCCCGAAAGUUGAAUCCAGUAUAUUCCAGCAUCAAGGAGACAGUGUUCCUGCUGGGAGAAUUUCAUGGGACUGGGUAAGAGGAGAGUACAGAUUGCUUUUUGUCCAAGUUAAAGCAUAGGUUUUCAUGCCUGCAGUAACCUGGGUGAAACUUCAUGAAACCCCAAUUCUGGUUGCUCCACUGUAAGAAGGAUGUGGAGGCUUUGGAGAGGGUGUAAAGGACGUUCACGAGCAUGUUGCCUGGAUUACAGAAUAUUAGCUGUAAGGAGAGGUUGAGCAAUCUUUGACUGUUUACUCGGGAGCAUCGGCUGAGAGGCAACCUGAUAGAGGCUUAUGAAAGCAUCAGAGUCAUCAGUAGAGUCGACAGUCGAAGUCAUUUUCCAGGGUAAAAUGUCAUUUCCAGAAGGACAGAGAUUUAAGGUGAGGGCUGUAACAUUCAAAGGAGAUUUGUGGGUUGUAUUUUUUACACACAGUGGUAGGUGCCUGUAAUGCACUGGAAGGAGUGGUGGUAAAUCAGCAUGAUAGUACAGUUGAGAUACAUUUGAAAAAGCACAUGACCAUUCAGGAUAUGGAGGGAUAUGGAUUUUGUGCAGAUAGUUUGGUUUAGAUUAAUUUGGUGUUAAGGUUGUCACAGUCACCAUGGGCUGAAGGGCCUGUUCCUGUGCUGUACUGUUCUGUGUUGUAGGUUUACUUGAAGCUCAGUAACUAUUUGUUAUUAAUAGCUGACAGAUGUCUGAAACUCUGCGAUAACAUUAACACUCAGUCCUUUCACUUCCUCUCCGGUUUCACAGGCAGGUUUAAUUUGAGCAGGGGGCCCUCCCAGUGGAGCUGUGUUACUAAAGAGAAUAAACACACUGCUUUACAUAUGGAAAUACAAUUCUAACAUUGUGCUUUGCACCAACCAACAGGUUCACGUUUAUCACACAGAAUGAAAUGAAAUGAAUCAAAAGCAAAAGGGUAAAGACACAGAGACAGCAAGACCCUCUCCUCAUUACAGAGCAUUUGCCACGUGUCAGAAACGGGCUCACUGUAAUGAUGAUUGACUGUUACUGAUUGAUUUAUUGAUUAUAUUAUGGAAAUGAGCAGUGCAAAUGUAUGUACACUUGUAUUUUACGUUCUGAAGCAGUUGGGAGACUGCCACCAACUACUUAAACUGUGUUUGCUCAAACUGAGCACGGAGGUCCAUCUUGGUGAUCAGAUAACUGAACUGUCAGCAAUAAAGUGAAAAAGAAGGAGAAACUAAAAGAUGCCACAGACUGCCUUGUCAACAUUACAGAAUCCCGGUGUGACAUGCUGAUGUUUGUUGAUGACUGUUGAUGAGAACGAUUGUUGCCCGGUGAAUCAAGUUUAGACUGAAAAGUAACACAGACCACAAUCACUAUGGAUCACAGUGGGAGCUGGGGGUUAUCAUUGGUCUGAAAGCUCUCAGGCCCUGAAGAUCAAGGAUAACAAACCUGCAGAUUCAGAGACAUUCAAUAAUCAGUUAUUUAAUUGUCAUUGACAGGUUAGGGUUACCAGUUUUCAGCGGUCAUAAGCAAUGGGUUUUAAUGCCCCUUCUUGACUGCUGAAGAACUUUGAGUUCAGGACCCAACACAAGUUUAAGUUUUAAUUAAUGAAUCUAACAGACAGGCCGGGGAACCCAGCAUUUGGGGCGACAUGGUAGUGUAGUGGUUAGCAGAGUGCUUUACAAUGCAGGCGACCUGGGGUUCAAUUCCUGCCACAGCUUGUAAGGAAAUUGUAAUGUCUCCCCAAGAAUGUGUGGGUUUCCACCGGGUACUCCAGUUUCCUCUCACAGUCCAAAGUCUAAAGUACCUCAGUUUGGUACUUUAACUGGUCACUGUAAAUUGUCCUGUGAUGAGACGAGGAUUAAAUCGGGAUCCCUGGGCAGUGUGGCUCGAAGGGCCAGAAGGGCCUAUUCCAUGCUGUGUGCCAAUAAAUAAAUGAAUUAAAUAAUUUA